AAAGCUGAUUUGAUACCAUCCAUAAACAGCAUGCUCCUUUGUUGAUCUCAAUUCAAUUUAUUCCAACUUGAUGUGCUGCUGAUGGCUUCCAUUCUUCUCCAUGACUCCAUUACGACUCUGGAUGAUCCUCUUGUCUAUCUGCCUCUAUAAAACUGCAGCCCUCUGCCUUUUCAGCCCCUUCCUCUACCCCCCCUUUUUUUUUUUUUUUUUUGAGAUUCUCUGAAUUAAUAAAUGUUCUUAUUGCGGCAGGCUAAUAAAAUCCUGUCUUGUGCAUUUUAGCUUUUACAAAAGCAAGCCUAAUAGUUUUUCUUACAAAUACCUAUUUAUAAGAGAACACAUGGCUGAUGGUAAACACGAGUCACAGAUU
This 367-nucleotide long non-coding RNA is filed under the name Homo sapiens (human). RNAcentral's name for it is "non-protein coding lnc-DCTD-19:1". The record is from RNAcentral. Lineage: Eukaryota; Metazoa; Chordata; Mammalia; Primates; Hominidae.